GUUUGAUCCUGGCUCAGAUUGAACGCUGGCGGCAUGCCUUACACAUGCAAGUCGAACGGCAGCGCGUCCUUCGGGAUGGCGGCGAGUGGCGAACGGGUGAGUAAAGCAUCGGAACGUGCCCGGUAGUGCGGGAUAGCUCGGCGAAAGCCGGAUUAAUACCGCAUGAGAUCCGUGGAUGAAAGCAGGGGACCUGAAAGGGCCUUGCGCUACUGGAGCGGCCGAUGUCAGAUUAGGUAGUUGGUGAGGUAAAGGCUCACCAAGCCUGCGAUCUGUAGCUGGUCUGAGAGGAUGAUCAGCCACAUCGGGACUGAGACACGGCCCGAACUCCUACGGGAGGCAGCAGUGGGGAAUUUUGGACAAUGGGCGCAAGCCUGAUCCAGCCAUGCCGCGUGCAGGAUGAAGGCCCUCGGGUUGUAAACUGCUUUUGUACGGAACGAAAAGCCUCUCUCGAAUAAAGAGGGGUGAUGACGGUACCGUAAGAAUAAGCACCGGCUAACUACGUGCCAGCAGCCGCGGUAAUACGUAGGGUGCGAGCGUUAAUCGGAAUUACUGGGCGUAAAGCGUGCGCAGGCGGUCUUGCAAGACAGUGGUGAAAUCCCCGGGCUCAACCUGGGAACGGCCAUUGUGACUGCAAGGCUGGAGUACGGCAGAGGGGGGUGGAAUUCCGCGUGUAGCAGUGAAAUGCGUAGAUAUGCGGAGGAACACCGAUGGCGAAGGCAGCCCCCUGGGCCUGUACUACGCUCUGCACAAAGCGACC
This 757-nucleotide ribosomal RNA is filed under the name uncultured bacterium. RNAcentral describes it as "bacterial SSU rRNA". It matches the Rfam family "Bacterial small subunit ribosomal RNA", at positions 11 to 764 of the family's 1533-position model. The record is from RNAcentral.